This 825-nucleotide ribosomal RNA is filed under the name bacterium. RNAcentral describes it as "bacterial SSU rRNA". It matches the Rfam family "Bacterial small subunit ribosomal RNA", at positions 40 to 859 of the family's 1533-position model. The record is from RNAcentral.
CGGCAGGCUUAACACAUGCAAGUCGAGCGGGGAAGGGUAGCUUGCUACCUAACCUAGCGGCGGACGGGUGAGUAAUGCUUAGGAAUCUGCCAUUUAGUGGGGGACAACAUUCCGAAAGGAAUGCUAAUACCGCAUACGUCCUACGGGAGAAAGCAGGGGAUCUUCGGACCUUGCGCUAAAUGAUGAGCCUAAGUCGGAUUAGCUAGUUGGUGGGGUAAAGGCCUACCAAGGCGACGAUCUGUAGCGGGUCUGAGAGGAUGAUCCGCCACACUGGGACUGAGACACGGCCCAGACUCCUACGGGAGGCAGCAGUGGGGAAUAUUGGACAAUGGGCGGAAGCCUGAUCCAGCCAUGCCGCGUGUGUGAAGAAGGCCUUUUGGUUGUAAAGCACUUUAAGCGAGGAGGAGGCUACUUAGAUUAAUACUCUAGGAUAGUGGACGUUACUCGCAGAAUAAGCACCGGCUAACUCUGUGCCAGCAGCCGCGGUAAUACAGAGGGUGCGAGCGUUAAUCGGAUUUACUGGGCGUAAAGCGUGCGUAGGCGGCUUUUUAAGUCGGAUGUGAAAUCCCCGAGCUUAACUUGGGAAUUGCAUUCGAUACUGGGAAGCUAGAGUAUGGGAGAGGAUGGUAGAAUUCCAGGUGUAGCGGUGAAAUGCGUAGAGAUCUGGAGGAAUACCGAUGGCGAAGGCAGCCAUCUGGCCUAAUACUGACGCUGAGGUACGAAAGCAUGGGGAGCAAACAGGAUUAGAUACCCUGGUAGUCCAUGCCGUAAACGAUGUCUACUAGCCGUUGGGGCCUUUGAGGCUUUAGUGGCGCAGCUAACGCG